Molecule: ribosomal RNA, 425 nt
Filed under: uncultured bacterium
Lineage: Bacteria
Description: bacterial SSU rRNA
Rfam family: Bacterial small subunit ribosomal RNA
Source: RNAcentral
GGGGGAAUCUUGCGCAAUGCGCGAAAGCGUGACGCAGCAACGCCGCGUGGGGGAAGAAGGCCUUCGGGUUGUAAACCCCUUUCAGGAGGGACGAAGGUUCGGCGGUGAAUAGCCGUCCGGACUGACGGUACCUCCACAAGAAGCCCCGGCUAACUACGUGCCAGCAGCCGCGGUAACACGUAGGGGGCGAACGUUGUCCGGAUUCAUUGGGCGUAAAGGGCUCGUAGGCGGUUCAACAAGCCGACCGUGAAAGUCUGGGGCUCAACUCCAGGAAGCCGGUUGGAACUGUUGUGACUAGGGUCCGGUAGAGGUGACUGGAAUUCUCGGUGUAGCGGUGAAAUGCGCAGAUAUCGAGAGGAACACCCGUAGCGAAGGCGGGUCACUGGGCCGGUACCGACGCUGAGGAGCGAAAGCGUGGGGAGCAA